AGCGAACGCUGGCGGCAGGCUUAACACAUGCAAGUCGAACGCCCGUAGCAAUACGGGAGUGGCAGACGGGUGAGUAACACGUGGGAACGUGCCCUUCAGUUCGGAACAACCCAGGGAAACUUGGGCUAAUACCGGAUACGUCCGUAAGGAGAAAGAUUUAUCGCUGAAGGAUCGGCCCGCGUCUGAUUAGCUAGUUGGUGAGGUAACGGCUCACCAAGGCGACGAUCAGUAGCNGGUCUGAGAGGACGAUCAGCCACACUGGGACUGAGACACGGCCCAGACUCCUACGGGAGGCAGCAGUGGGGAAUCUUGGACAAUGGGCGCAAGCCUGAUCCAGCCAUGCCGCGUGAGUGAUAAGGCCUUAGGGUUGUAAAGCUCUUUCGGUGGGGAAGAUAAUGACGGUACCCACAAGAAGAACGCCCCGGCUAACUUCGUGCCAGCCGCCGCGGUAA
This 452-nucleotide ribosomal RNA is filed under the name uncultured bacterium. RNAcentral's name for it is "bacterial SSU rRNA". It matches the Rfam family "Bacterial small subunit ribosomal RNA", at positions 29 to 523 of the family's 1533-position model. The record is from RNAcentral.